CAUAGCGACUAUCGUGGCAUAUCAAUAAGCGGAGGAAAAGAAACUAACAAGGAUUCCCUUAGUAACGGCGAGUGAAGCGGGAAGAGCUCAAAUUUGAAAUCUUCAAGGUUUUACCUUGACGAAUUGUAGUUUAAAGAAGUGUUUUCUGUUGGAGUUUUGGUAAAAGUUCUUUGGAAUAGGACAUCAUAGAGGGUGAGAAUCCCGCAUUUGACCAUUAUUUCCAGCUGUGUGAUACACUUUCAAAGAGUCGGAUUGUUUGGGAAUGCAGUCCAAAAUGGGUGGUAAAUUUCAUCUAAAGCUAAAUACUGGCGAGAGACCGAUAGCGAACAAGUACCGUGAGGGAAAGAUGAAAAGAACUUUGAAAAGAGAGUUAAACAGUACGUGAAAUUGUCAAAAGGGAAGCGUUUGACACCAGUGUUGUUUUCUCGAAAAUCAAUUACGAAUGUUUUAGUUUUUGAGGAGUUAUGACUUCAUCGGCUUGCUUCUCUCUUUAUGAAACUUUCUUAAUGCACUUUUCGGUUAACAAGUCAACAUCAAUUUCUUUGUUGUAAAAGGGUAUGAGGAAGGUGGCUUUCUUUUCGGAGAAAGUGUUUAUAGCCUUGUAGCCUCUGCAAUCGGAGAGAUUGAGGUCUGCAGCGUAGAUCCUUCGGGGUUAGAUACAUUUGUGCUAAGUUAUAGCUUUUCAUAGACAACUUGUUGACUAUGUUAGUCUUGUAGCUUACUCGCUUAUGCUAUUUUACCUACGCUUAGGAUGUUGAUAUGCAUGACUGAUAU
RNAcentral lists this ribosomal RNA (774 nucleotides) under uncultured Neocallimastigales. Its description in RNAcentral is "partial large subunit ribosomal RNA". It matches the Rfam family "Eukaryotic large subunit ribosomal RNA", at positions 22 to 636 of the family's 3401-position model. The record is from RNAcentral. Lineage: Eukaryota; Fungi; Neocallimastigomycota; Neocallimastigomycetes; Neocallimastigales.